This 1674-nucleotide ribosomal RNA is filed under the name uncultured bacterium. Its description in RNAcentral is "bacterial LSU rRNA". It matches the Rfam family "Bacterial large subunit ribosomal RNA", at positions 1377 to 2925 of the family's 2925-position model. The record is from RNAcentral.
GGGUGAGUCGGGUCCUAAGGCGAGGCCGACAGGCGUAGUCGAAUGGAUGAACGGGUGGAUAUUCCCGUACCGGCGGCGUACCGUAAGAGCCGAACGGAUGAGUACUAACCUCCGGUCGCGUGGCGUCGUUCCCUUCGGGGUUCGGGGUCCGCGGUCGUUGGGAGCGUAGUCCUGGUAGGCUAGCGCACAGGGGUGACACGGAAUGGGAGCCGGCCGCGGAGGUGGUUUUCCGUGGUCAAGCACGCAGCCCGUCCCAUAGGCAAAUCCGUGGGACGCAUAGGGUGAGGUGUGAUGAUGGGCGUCUUUUAUGGCGCGAUAUCCGGUGGUCCAGGCCGUCGAGAAAAGCCUCGGCGCGAGGGGCGUCGCCGCCCGUACCCCAAACCGACACUGGUGGUCAGGUAGAGAAUACCAAGGCGAUCGAGCGAAUCCUGGUCAAGGAACUCGGCAAAUCACUCCCGUGCCUUCGGUAUAAGGGAGACCCCCGGGCGUGAAGAGGCUUGCCCUCGGAGCGUUGGGGGGUGGCACAGACCAGGGGGUAGCGACUGUUUACCAAAAACACAGGUGCAUGCGAAGGCGCAAGCCGCUGUAUAUGCACUGACGCCUGCCCGGUGCCGGAAGGUUAAGAGGAUCCGUCAGUCCCUUUUGGGGUGAAGCGGUGAAUUCAAGCCCCGGUAAACGGCGGUGGUAACUAUAACCAUCCUAAGGUAGCGAAAUUCCUUGUCGGGUAAGUUCCGACCUGCACGAAUGGCGUAACGACUUCCCCACUGUCUCGACCAGGAGCUCGGCGAAAUUGCAGUACGAGUAAAGAUGCUCGUUAAGCGCAGAAGGACGAAAAGACCCCGGGACCUUUACUAUACCUUGGUAUUGGCGUUAGGCGCGGAUUGUGUAGCAUAGGCGGGAGGCUUCGAAGCAUGGGCGCCAGCCCGUGUGGAGCCGCAAGGUGAAAUACCGCUCUGUUCUCGUUUGACGUCUAACCUCGAACAGUCAUCCUGUUCAGGGACAGUGCCUGGCGGGUAGUUUAACUGGGGCGGUUGCCUCCCAAAGAGUAACGGAGGCGCUCAAAGGUCCGCUCAGCCCGGUUGGCAAUCGGGUUUCGAGUGUAAUCGCACAAGCGGGCUUGACUGCGAGAACGACGGUUCGGGCAGGGACGAAAGUCGGAGAUAGUGAUCCGGUGCCGGCGCACGGGCGCGGCAUCGCUCAACGGAUAAAAGGUACCCCGGGGAUAACAGGCUGAUCAUUCCCAAGAGUCCAUAUCGACGGGAUGGUUUGGCACCUCGAUGUCGGCUCGUCGCAUCCUGGGGCUGGAGCAGGUCCCAAGGGUUCGGCUGUUCGCCGAUUAAAGCGGCACGCGAGCUGGGUUCAGAACGUCGUGAGACAGUUUGGUCUCUAUCCUCUGCGCUCGUUGGAAUCCUGAGGAGGCCUGCCCAUAGUACGAGAGGACCUGGGUGGACGGACCUCUGGUAUGCCGGUUGUCGCGCCAGCGGCAUGGCCGGUUGGCUACGUUCGGGAGGGAUAACCGCUGAAAGCAUCUAAGCGGGAAGCCUGCUCCAAGAUUAGGAUUCCUUGGCACUUCGGUGCCUGUAGCCCGCAUGUUGAACACGUGUUCGAUAGGCCGGAGGUGGAAGCCCCGCGAGGGGUGGAGCCGACCGGUACUAACGGGCGAACGCGGCACAC